This 602-nucleotide unclassified non-coding RNA is filed under the name Hevea brasiliensis (rubber tree). The record is from RNAcentral. Lineage: Eukaryota; Viridiplantae; Streptophyta; Magnoliopsida; Malpighiales; Euphorbiaceae.
AGAUGAAGAGCUUGGAUGAAGUGUACAGUCAGUUAAGUGAACGACAUGUGAGCAGGAGCAGAUCAGAUACAAAGCCGUCAGCAGGUGAAGCUCCGGUGAAGUUACCGACGAAGAUGAAGAAAUCAGCAAGUAUGAAAUCGCCAUUUGGGCAUUUUGAAGAAGAAGAAAUUGUGGAAGCUCGGCGGCCGGCGACUACAAGGGAGAAAAAUGCUAAAAAAAGCGAUGAAGACAAUGAAGUCGAUGCGAAAGCCGAUGAUUUCAUUAACAAAUUCAAGCAACAGUUGAAGUUGCAGAGGUUGGAUUCCAUUCUCAGGAGCAAGGAGACGACUGGCAGAGGGAGCUAAAGGUAUAAACUUCUGGGGGUUAAUUUUCAGUUUCUGAUUAGUUUUUGGGGCAAACUGUAGAAAUUGUUAAAGUAAGAUCCCAGCCGAUGAUUUCAUUAACAAAUUCAAGCAACAGUUGAAGUUGCAGAGGUUGGAUUCCAUUCUCAGGAGCAAGGAGACGACUGGCAGAGGGAGCUAAAGGUAUAAACUUCUGGGGGUUAAUUUUCAGUUUCUGAUUAGUUUUUGGGGCAAACUGUAGAAAUUGUUAAAGUAAGAUCC